RNAcentral lists this unclassified non-coding RNA (243 nucleotides) under uncultured fungus. Its description in RNAcentral is "sequence contains ITS2". Lineage: Eukaryota; Fungi. The record is from RNAcentral.
AACGCACAUUGCGCCCGCCAGCAUUCUGGCGGGCAUGCCUGUCCGAGCGUCAUUUCAACCCUCAGGCCCUGCCUGGUGUUGGAGGACUGCGCACCGCAGCCUCCCAAAGCAAGCGGCGGCGGCGCCCCAUAACCGAACGCAGUAGUUACAUCUCGUUCUGGGUCUGGGUCGUUGUCCUGCCGGAAAACCCCCAUCUUUUUAAUGGUUGACCUCGGAUCAGGUAGGAAUACCCGCUGAACUUAA